This 555-nucleotide ribosomal RNA is filed under the name bacterium A9 12b-26b. RNAcentral's name for it is "bacterial SSU rRNA". It matches the Rfam family "Bacterial small subunit ribosomal RNA", at positions 83 to 648 of the family's 1533-position model. The record is from RNAcentral.
CUGGGUGGAUGAGUGGCGAACGCGGUGAGUAAUACGUGAGUAACCUGCCCUUGACUCUGGGAUAAGCCUGGGAAACUGGGUCUAAUACUGGAUACGACAUGUCACCGCAUGGUGGCGUGUGGAAAGGGUUUUACUGGUUUUGGAUGGGCUCACGGCCUAUCAGCUUGUUGGUGGGGUAAUGGCUCACCAAGGCGACGACGGGUAGCCGGCCUGAGAGGGUGACCGGCCACACUGGGACUGAGACACGGCCCAGACUCCUACGGGAGGCAGCAGUGGGGAAUAUUGCACAAUGGGCGAAAGCCUGAUGCAGCGACGCCGCGUGAGGGAUGACGGCCUUCGGGUUGUAAACCUCUUUCAGCACGGAAGAAGCGAAAGUGACGGUACGUGCAGAAGAAGCGCCGGCUAACUACGUGCCAGCAGCCGCGGUAAUACGUAGGGCGCAAGCGUUGUCCGGAAUUAUUGGGCGUAAAGAGCUCGUAGGCGGUUUGUCGCGUCUGCUGUGAAAGCCCGGGGCUUAACCCCGGGGUGUGCAGUGGGUACGGGCAGACUUGAGUG